UGUGUAGGCGGUUGUUUAAGUUUGGUGUGAAAUCUCCCGGCUCAACUGGGAGGGUGCGCCGAAUACUGAAUGACUUGGAGUGCGGGAGAGGAGAGUGGAAUUCCUGGUGUAGCGGUGAAAUGCGUAGAUAUCAGGAGGAACACCGGUGGUGUAGACGGCUCUCUGGACCGUAACUGACGCUGAGACACGAAAGCGUGGGUAGCAAACA
This 208-nucleotide ribosomal RNA is filed under the name uncultured bacterium. RNAcentral's name for it is "partial 16S ribosomal RNA". It matches the Rfam family "Bacterial small subunit ribosomal RNA", at positions 568 to 774 of the family's 1533-position model. The record is from RNAcentral.